Molecule: ribosomal RNA, 789 nt
Filed under: uncultured Neocallimastigales
Lineage: Eukaryota; Fungi; Neocallimastigomycota; Neocallimastigomycetes; Neocallimastigales
Description: partial large subunit ribosomal RNA
Rfam family: Eukaryotic large subunit ribosomal RNA
Source: RNAcentral
CGAGCACGCGCGUGUGGCAUAUCAAUAAGCGGAGGAAAAGAAACUAACAAGGAUUCCCUUAGUAACGGCGAGUGAAGCGGGAAGAGCUCAAAUUUGAAAUCUUCAAGGUUCUACCUUGACGAAUUGUAGUUUAUAAGAAGUGUUUUCUGUUAUGGAGUUGGCUAAAAGUUCUUUGGAAUAGGACAUCAUAGAGGGUGAGAAUCCCGUAUUUGGUACAUUAUCCUCCUAGCUGUUGUGAUACACUUUCAACGAGUCGGAUUGUUUGGGAAUGCAGUCCAAAAUGGGUGGUAAAUUUCAUCUAAAGCUAAAUAUUGGCGAGAGACCGAUAGCGAACAAGUACCGUGAGGGAAAGAUGAAAAGAACUUUGAAAAGAGAGUUAAACAGUACGUGAAAUUGUCAAAAGGGAAGCGUUUGACACCAGUGUUGUUUUCUCGAAAAUCAAUUAAAAGGCGGAUGUUUGUGUUGUAUUGAGGAUUAAUGACUUCAUCGCUUGCUCCUUUCUUGUACUACUUUCUUAAUGCACUUUUCGGUUAACAAGUCAACAUCAAGUUUCUUUUGUUGUAAAAGGGUCAUUAGGAAGGUGGCUUUCUUUUCGGAGAAAGUGUUUAUAGCCUUUGAUCUCUGCAACCGGAGAGACUGAGGUCUGCAGCGUAGACUCUUCGGGGUUAAAUACAUUUGUGCUAAGCUAUAGCUUUUUAUAGACAACUUGUUGACUAUAUUUAGUCUUGUAGGCUUACUCGCUUACUGCUAUUUUACCUACGCUUAGGAUGUUGAACUCUAUCACACACA